This 168-nucleotide ribosomal RNA is filed under the name Psednos groenlandicus (Greenland dwarf snailfish). Its description in RNAcentral is "partial 12S rRNA". Lineage: Eukaryota; Metazoa; Chordata; Actinopteri; Perciformes; Liparidae. The record is from RNAcentral.
CACCGCGGUUAUACGAGAGGCCCAAGUUGAAAGAUGCCGGCGUAAAGCGUGGUUAAGUAAAAUUUAAACUAAAGUUAAACAUCUUCAAAACUGUUAUACGUAUUCGAAGACGGGAACCUCAACCACGAAAGUAACUUUAUACAAACUGAACCCACGAAAGCUAUGACA